GUAGGUGGCAAGCGUUGUCCGGAAUUAUUGGGCGUAAAGCGCGCGCAGGCGGUCCUUUAAGUCUGAUGUGAAAGCCCACGGCUCAACCGUGGAGGGUCAUUGGAAACUGGGGGACUUGAGUACAGAAGAGGAAAGCGGAAUUCCAAGUGUAGCGGUGGAAUGCGUAGAGAUUUGGAGGAACACCAGUGGCGAAGGCGGCUUUCUGGUCUGUAACUGACGCUGAGGCGCGAAAGCGUGGGGAGCAAACAGGGAUUAGAUACCCUGGUAGUCCACGCCGUAAACGAUGAGUGCUAAGUGUUAGGGGGGUUUCCCGCCCCCUUAGUGCUGCAGCUAACGCAUUAAGCACUCCGCCUGGGGAGUACGGCCCGCAAGGCUG
RNAcentral lists this ribosomal RNA (376 nucleotides) under uncultured organism. Its description in RNAcentral is "partial 16S ribosomal RNA". It matches the Rfam family "Bacterial small subunit ribosomal RNA", at positions 527 to 896 of the family's 1533-position model. The record is from RNAcentral.